UGCCAGCAGCCGCGGUAAUACGUAGGGUGCAAGCGUUAAUCGGAAUUACUGGGCGUAAAGCGUGCGCAGGCGGUUCGGAAAGAAAGAUGUGAAAUCCCAGGGCUUAACCUUGGAACUGCAUUUUUAACUACCGGGCUAGAGUAUGUCAGAGGGGGGUAGAAUUCCACGUGUAGCAGUGAAAUGCGUAGAGAUGUGGAGGAAUACCGAUGGCGAAGGCAGCCCCCUGGGAUAAUACUGACGCUCAUGCACGAAAGCGUGGGGAGCAAACAGGAUUAGAUACCCUGGUAGUCCACGCCCUAAACGAUGUCAACUAGCUGUUGGGGUUUAUUAACCUUAGUAGCGCAGCUAACGCGUGAAGUUGACCGCCUGGGGAGUACGGUCGCAAGAUUAAAACUCAAAGGAAUUGACGGGGGCCCGU
This 418-nucleotide ribosomal RNA is filed under the name uncultured bacterium. RNAcentral describes it as "bacterial SSU rRNA". It matches the Rfam family "Bacterial small subunit ribosomal RNA", at positions 506 to 924 of the family's 1533-position model. The record is from RNAcentral.